Molecule: long non-coding RNA, 487 nt
Filed under: Homo sapiens (human)
Lineage: Eukaryota; Metazoa; Chordata; Mammalia; Primates; Hominidae
Description: non-protein coding lnc-UHRF2-1:1
Source: RNAcentral
CUCAAACGAGGUGUGGGAAUUAUAACAGUAAAAAGUUAAGAGAUCGGGAAUUUGUAAACAUCUGCAAGGAUUCUGGCUCAUAUUGCUUCUCAAGUAUCCUAAUUCUCAUACUGUUAUUAAAAACAAACCCACAAAAAAACGAAAGAGAAAUUGGCCAGUGCUGGGAUUACAGGCAUGAGCCACUGCGCCUGGCUUCUUCUCUUCCUAAAAGGACACCAGUCAUAGUGGAUCAGGGCCGACCCUAAUCAAAUAUGACCUCAUGUUAACUUGAUUACAUUUGCAAAAACUUUAUUUCCAAAUAAGGCCACAUUCACAGGUGUUGGGGGUUAGGUUUCAGCGUGUCUUUUGGGGGGACACAAGUCAAUCCCUAACAAUGCCCAGCCAAAGCAGUGUGCAGAGCAGAAGCUUGCUUGGCUCCUGUGAGGCCACACCCAGUGUGCUGAGUGUUGGGAUUGAAAGGCCAGACUCCAUCACCUCAGGUAGGGCC